GACGAACGCUGGCGGCGUGCUUAACACAUGCAAGUCGAGCGGUAAGGCCCUUUCGGGGGUACACGAGCGGCGAACGGGUGAGUAACACGUGGGUGACCUGCCCUCAGCUCUGGGAUAAGCCCGGGAAACUGGGUCUAAUACCGGAUAUGACUCCAUGGCGCAUGUUGUGGGGUGGAAAGCCUUGUGCGGCUGAGGAUGGGCCCGCGGCCUAUCAGCUUGUUGGUGGGGUGAUGGCCACCAAGGCGACGACGGGUAGCCGGCCUGAGAGGGCGACCGGCCACACUGGGACUGAGAUACGGCCCAGACUCCUACGGGAGGCAGCAGGUGGGGAAUCUUGCGCAAUGGGCGAAAGCCUGACGCAGCGACGCCGCGUGAGGGAUGACGGCCU
This 388-nucleotide ribosomal RNA is filed under the name uncultured bacterium. Its description in RNAcentral is "bacterial SSU rRNA". It matches the Rfam family "Bacterial small subunit ribosomal RNA", at positions 28 to 417 of the family's 1533-position model. The record is from RNAcentral.